Rattus norvegicus (Norway rat) is the source of this 69-nucleotide non-coding RNA. Lineage: Eukaryota; Metazoa; Chordata; Mammalia; Rodentia; Muridae. The record is from Rfam.
GGGGAUUUGGCUCAGUGGUAGAGCGCUUGCCUAGCAAGCACAAGGUCCUGGGUUCGGUCCCCAGCUCCA